Molecule: ribosomal RNA, 231 nt
Filed under: Triticum aestivum (bread wheat)
Lineage: Eukaryota; Viridiplantae; Streptophyta; Magnoliopsida; Poales; Poaceae
Description: partial small subunit ribosomal RNA
Source: RNAcentral
AUGGGCAUACCAAAAUUGUCGUCCCUCGUGUUUAUUAAAAAUCAGCAGUGUUGUGAACUGGACGACCGGAAGAAUGGCCGGGUGAGCGUCUGGGGCGCCUUCAGCCCGCAGGACGUGGCCAUCAAGAUCAGGAAGCGGACCAACCGGCGCGUCGAAAUACUAGAGCUCUGGGAGGCCGCAGGGCCGGGGGGCGGCGACGAGCAGGGCGUCGGCGGCGGGCAGAUGCCCUGA